UUCAUAUCCUUCCUUGUUGGCUUUUAUUGUUUUAUUUGUUAAAUUUGCGAACAUUGUUGAUUUAGUUAACCAAUUAUUGUUUUUUUGCAAUCGGCUCAUUUUUUUUUCAAUUGGCCUGCUAAUUUUCAUCAUAGAGAGAUUAAUUUUUGAGCCGUGUUGGACCUUGAGGGUUGUAGAAUUGAUAGUAAACACCCAAUGGUCCCAUCCGUUGGUUGCCUUGGGCGUUCCUUAAGUUUGGAGUCUUAUACUUCAGUUCAGAAUCUAGGAUUUGAUGCUAUUUUGAGUUUAAAGGUUGGAUUAAUUGUCACUAUUGAGAUAUCCCCAGAUUUCAGGGUAACAUAGAGAAUUCCGGCCAGUUGGAUAGAACAUUGAAGGAUCUCUGUUUCACUGGGAGAGUUAAAGAAGCUGUUGGAAUAUUAUGCUGCACGGGAAUGCAAGUACAUUCCGACACAUAUUCACUUGUCUUGCAAGAGUGCAUAUUUAGGAAGGAAUAUAAGCAGGGCAGAAGAAUUCAUUGGCAAAUGGUGGCCUUUGGAUUUGUUCCGGAUGAGUAUCUAAAGAUCAAGAUUCUGAUCCUGUAUGCAAAGUCUGGAGAUUUGGGUUCAGCACACAUACUUUUUGACAUGUUGCGAAAGAGAAAUUUGAUUUCGUGGAAUGCAUUAAUUGCAGGAUACGUGCAAAAGGGGAUGGACGAGGUGGGCUUGAGUCUGUAUCAUAGGAUGAGGCAGCUCGGUUGGAUGCCUGACCAGUACACCUUUGCGUCUGUGUUCAGGGCAUGUUCUUCCCUAGCUUUCCUGGAACAGGGAAAACUUGCCCAUGGUGUACUGAUUAAGAGUCAAAUUAACAGUAACAUUGUAGUUAAUAGUGCACUUAUGGAUAUGUAUUUCAAAUGCAGUAGCCCUUUUGAUGGGUUUAAAGUAUUUGAUACGUCUUUGGACAGGAAUGUCAUAAUUUGGACUUCAUUAAUAUCUGGAUAUGGCCUCAAUGGAAGAGUAUCCGAGGUUUUGGAUUUUUUUCAUCAGAUGAUAAAUGAAGGUAUCAAACCAAACCAAAUCACAUUUCUUGCUGUACUUUCCGCAUGCAGCCAUGGAGGGCUGGUGGAUAAAGGGUGGGAAUACUUUUCUUCAAUGAUGAGAGACUAUGGUGUUCAGCCAAGAGGAAAGCAUUACGCUGUUAUGGUUGAUCUUUUAGGCCGUGCUGGUAGGUUAGAGGAGGCUUAUGCAUUCGUCCAAACAUCACCUUAUAAAGAGCACCCCGCAGUAUGGGGUGCUUUACUUGGUGCGUGUAAAAUUCAUGGAAAUAUGGAUAUGGUGAAACUUGCUGCGAAGAACUUCUUUGUGUUAGAACCCGAAAAUGCUGGAAAGUAUGUAGUCCUGUCUAAUGCUUAUGCGACGUUUGGUUUAUGGAAGAAUGUCGCAGAGAUAAGGAGGGUAAUGAAGGGGUCAGGGAUAAAAAAGGAGCCUGGUCAUAGCAUGAUAGAGGUACGAAAGGAGGCCCAUUUCUUCUUUAUGGGACAUAAUACUCAUAGUGAGACAGAACAGAUUCAUUGGCUGAUUAGAGAAUUAGCCUUUAUUAUGAAAGAUGUUGUUGAUGCUCCGGACUUCAGUAUUGAAUUGGAGUAAAAUUACAAGUAGUUCAUAAGGUGAUCAGAUUUGAGCUACAGUUUUUCAGUAGCACAUAUGCUCAUGGCUCAUCAGUGGUGGGUGAGACAUGGAAAUGUUAGAUGGAUGUGCUGUAUUUUUGGCUAACAACUAAUCAAUACGGACAAUUGGACUACUAUGUUAAGAAGAAAUACAAACUUUCCGCAUAAAGACAACAUGGUGCACAGUAUAUAAAGAAAUGUAGCCGUAAUAAAAUCGAACAAAGACAAUAGGUAUGCGUUAGAUUCUAUUGUGACGCAUGAUGGAGAAAAGUUGCCGUGCAUACCUUUAGCGAAUCUCUCAUCAGUUCGAGAAAAGCUGGGUGCUGAAUUGUAUGAU
Molecule: RNA transcript, 1979 nt
Organism: Salvia splendens (bonfire salvia)
Lineage: Eukaryota; Viridiplantae; Streptophyta; Magnoliopsida; Lamiales; Lamiaceae
Gene name: thymidine kinase a
Exons: 2
Source: RefSeq, a predicted model, not a curated record